CAGCAGCCGCGGUAAAACGUAGGCGACAAGCGUUGUCCGGAAUUAUUGGGCGUAAAGCGCGCGCAGGCGGAUCAGUUAGUCUGUCUUAAAAGUUCGGGGCUUAACCCCGUGAUGGGAUGGAAACUGCUGAUCUAGAGUAUCGGAGAGGAAAGUGGAAUUCCUAGUGUAGCGGUGAAAUGCGUAGAUAUUAGGAAGAACACCAGUGGCGAAGGCGACUUUCUGGACGAAAACUGACGCUGAGGCGCGAAAGCCAGGGGAGCGAACGGGAUUAGAUACCCCAGUAGUCCCUGUCUCUUAUACA
This 301-nucleotide ribosomal RNA is filed under the name uncultured bacterium. RNAcentral describes it as "partial 16S ribosomal RNA". It matches the Rfam family "Bacterial small subunit ribosomal RNA", at positions 509 to 809 of the family's 1533-position model. The record is from RNAcentral.